GUUUUAUACACACACACACACACACACAUACACACAUACACACAUACACACACAUAUAUAUAUGUGUGUGUGUGUGUAUGUGUGUGUGUGUGUUGUGGUUGGAC
RNAcentral lists this microRNA precursor (104 nucleotides) under Marmota monax (woodchuck). The record is from RNAcentral. Lineage: Eukaryota; Metazoa; Chordata; Mammalia; Rodentia; Sciuridae.